This 449-nucleotide ribosomal RNA is filed under the name uncultured prokaryote. RNAcentral's name for it is "bacterial SSU rRNA". It matches the Rfam family "Bacterial small subunit ribosomal RNA", at positions 355 to 796 of the family's 1533-position model. The record is from RNAcentral.
UGGGGAAUAUUGCACAAUGGGGGAAACCCUGAUGCAGCCAUGCCGCGUGUGUGAAGAAGGCCUUCGGGUUGUAAAGCACUUUCAGUCGUGAGGAAGGGUGUGCAGUUAAUAGCUGUACAUUUUGACGUUAGCGACAGAAGAAGCACCGGCUAACUCCGUGCCAGCAGCCGCGGUAAUACGGAGGGUGCGAGCGUUAAUCGGAAUUACUGGGCGUAAAGCGCAUGCAGGCGGUCUGUUAAGCAAGAUGUGAAAGCCCGGGGCUCAACCUCGGAACAGCAUUUUGAACUGGCAGACUAGAGUCUUGUAGAGGGGGGUAGAAUUUCAGGUGUAGCGGUGAAAUGCGUAGAGAUCUGAAGGAAUACCGGUGGCGAAGGCGGCCCCCUGGACAAAGACUGACGCUCAGAUGCGAAAGCGUGGGGAGCAAACAGGAUUAGAUACCCCCGUAGUCC